CAAACGGUCCUUUUAAGGACCAUCGAAAAUGAUUUUUUCGAGAGCUGU
Aedes albopictus (Asian tiger mosquito) is the source of this 48-nucleotide non-coding RNA. Lineage: Eukaryota; Metazoa; Arthropoda; Insecta; Diptera; Culicidae. The record is from Rfam.